This 45-nucleotide non-coding RNA is filed under the name Schistosoma mansoni. The record is from RNAcentral. Lineage: Eukaryota; Metazoa; Platyhelminthes; Trematoda; Strigeidida; Schistosomatidae.
AUCCAUUUGACGAGUCCCAAAUAGGACGAGAUGCGCGUCCUAGAU